This is a long non-coding RNA of Camellia sinensis, 976 nucleotides long. RefSeq lists it as uncharacterized. NCBI's taxonomy places the organism in Eukaryota, Viridiplantae, Streptophyta, Magnoliopsida, Ericales, Theaceae. The record is from RefSeq and is a predicted model, not a curated record.
CUCUCUCUCUCUCUCUUCCUCUUCCUCUCCGCCACUCCUCUCCCCUCCCUUGCGGUCGCCAACAACCGGAACACCGAUUCACCUCGUUGUUGGUCACUGUCGCCUGAGAUCCAUCACCCAAGGAAGCUCGAUCGGUGGCUCCUCACUCGCAGCUCCUCGAAUUGCAAGUACAAGCGAAAUAGAGGCUACUAGACUUCGCCUGCCCUCGAUCGCCUUCUCUCUUAUUCUUCUCUUGGAUGCCACCACCACUUACAUGCUAGAUUGCAAUGGAUGAAAAGGAAUCCAUCUUGAGUAGUGUACCAGCUGAUUUUAGGGAAAAGGGUUCGAAGUUGCAUGCAUCUCUUAUAGAUGGGAAGGUACUAUGGAAGAAAGAGAAUUAGCACCUUUAGAUGAAAAAGGCCAAUAGCUUGAAUGUUAAAUCCACUUUGAUUUCCUGAACACAGAGAAACUCACUUCAUUAUCCAGCUUUAGUUUUUUAUUUUAGAUAAGUAGUUCCUUGAAUAAUUUCAGUUACAUCCAUGGUGUUUGCAACAUAAGGAUUUGGGGAUAAAUUGUUGAUGACACUACCAAAAUUCAAAGUGAUGAGAAAUGAAUCUUUGUUGUACUUUAGGGAGCCACGAUAUGGGAAAGAGGCUUAAUGGACCGACCUUGAUUUGCCAUGUAAUUAAGGUCAUGUAAUUCAAGUCCUUAAAGCAUAUAGCUUAUCAUUUUUAUUUUAUUUUUUAUUUUUUUAACAGAUUGCUUUUGCGUGGGCUAUUGUGGAUAUUUAUUUUUGUGUACUAAAACAAUUUUGUUCUGUAUAUGGAAGACAUUUAUUUUUCUACAACCCUCUGCUUUGGAAAUCCAGUGUUUUUGUAUGUGAUAUUUAAUUUAGAUGGAUUAUACUUGGUUGGUGUGGAUUUAUAUGAUAUUUGGAAUAUGAUGUUACAAGUUAAAGUUUUUGGAUAGUUGAUAAUGAAAUGGGUAUUAUUGAUAA